This 75-nucleotide microRNA precursor is filed under the name Myotis lucifugus (little brown bat). RNAcentral's name for it is "miRNA (ENSMLUG00000021090.1)". Lineage: Eukaryota; Metazoa; Chordata; Mammalia; Chiroptera; Vespertilionidae. The record is from RNAcentral.
GGCUCUUGUUAAAAUGCAGAUUCUGAUUUAGUAGGUCUGGGUGGUGGGCUAAGCUUCUGCAUUUUUAACAAGCUC